This 513-nucleotide ribosomal RNA is filed under the name Borbo fatuellus. RNAcentral's name for it is "partial 16S ribosomal RNA". The stretch from base 387 to 513 matches the Rfam family "Bacterial large subunit ribosomal RNA", at positions 2473 to 2600 of the family's 2925-position model. The record is from RNAcentral. Lineage: Eukaryota; Metazoa; Arthropoda; Insecta; Lepidoptera; Hesperiidae.
GUCUUUUUGUUAAUAAUUUAAAGUCGAAUCUGCCCACUGAUUUUAAAUUAAAGGGCUGCAGUAUAUUGACUGUACAAAGGUAGCAUAAUAAUUAGUCUUUUAAUUGGAGACUUGUAUGAAAGAUUUAAUGAGGUAUAAACUGUCUCUUUUUUAUAAUUUGAAUUUAAUUUUUUAGUAAAAAAGCUAAAAUUUAUUUAAAAGACGAGAAGACCCUAUAGAGUUUUAUAAUUAAUUUAAUUAUAAGUUUAUAUUUAAUUUUAAAGUUAAUUAAUUUAAUUAUUUUGUUGGGGUGAUAGAAAAAUUAAAAUAACUUUUUUUUAAAAAUAAACAUUAAUUAAUGAUUAAAUGAUCCAUUUUUUAUGAUUAUAAGAAAAAAUUACCUUAGGGAUAACAGCGUAAUUUUUUUUUUUAGUUCUCAUAAAAAAAAAAGUUUGCGACCUCGAUGUUGGAUUAAGAUAAAAUUUAAAUGCAGAAGUUUAAAAUUUUGAUCUGUUCGAUCAUUAAAAUCUUACA